AUCCUUUCUCAACCUUUUGGCUAAGAUCCAGUGUAGUAUACGUUCUUAUCGGUUUAAUAUACGAUAUGUGGGCCGUUGGUCCGCAAUGAUAUUAAAUUUAUUUUUUGUGGGGGAGGGGCCACCACGGUAGCUUGCUGCUGGGCCUCUCAAGUGUCGCCUGGGCGUUGCACUACAGCCCAGGCCUGGCGCACCCCCC
Non-coding RNA from Lolium perenne, 196 nucleotides. The record is from RefSeq and is a predicted model, not a curated record. NCBI's taxonomy places the organism in Eukaryota, Viridiplantae, Streptophyta, Magnoliopsida, Poales, Poaceae.